RNAcentral lists this ribosomal RNA (301 nucleotides) under uncultured bacterium. RNAcentral describes it as "partial 16S ribosomal RNA". It matches the Rfam family "Bacterial small subunit ribosomal RNA", at positions 509 to 807 of the family's 1533-position model. The record is from RNAcentral.
CAGCAGCCACGGGAAUACGGAGGGCGCGAGCGUUACCCGGAUUUACUGGGCGUAAAGGGCGUGUAGGCGGCCUGGGGCGUCCCAUGUGAAAGGCCACGGCUCAACCGUGGAGGAGCGUGGGAUACGCUCAGGCUAGAGGGUGGGAGAGGGUGGUGGAAUUCCCGGAGUAGCGGUGAAAUGCGCAGAUACCGGGAGGAACGCCGAUGGCGAAGGCAGCCACCUGGUCCACUUCUGACGCUGAGGCGCGAAAGCGUGGGGAGCAAAUGGGAUUAGAUACCCCUGUAGUCCCUGUCUCUUAUAC